This 447-nucleotide ribosomal RNA is filed under the name Triticum aestivum (bread wheat). Its description in RNAcentral is "partial small subunit ribosomal RNA". The record is from RNAcentral. Lineage: Eukaryota; Viridiplantae; Streptophyta; Magnoliopsida; Poales; Poaceae.
AUGAAGAGAAGGUUCCUAGAUGCAAUUGCCAUAGUGCAGCGAUGGGGUAAACCAGAUUACUUCAUCACAAUGACAUGCAACCCAUACUGGGAGGAGAUAACAACAGAGUUGAUGCCCGGACAGCUACCACAGGAUCGACCAGACCUGGUUGCAAGAGUGUACAAAGCAAAGCAGCGAGAUUUGAUGGACUUACUCAUCAAGAAAAAGCAUAUUGGCGAGGUUGCGGCCUAUGUUCAUGUGACCGAGUUUCAGAAAAGAGGGCUCCCACAUGAACAUAUCCUUCUAAUCAUGAAGGCAGGUAGCAAGUUAAAGACUCCAGAUGACUAUGACAGAGUCAUAUCAGCAGAAAUACCUGAUAAAGAUAAAUACCCUGUCCUGCAUGCUCUAGUCAUAAAACACAUGUUGCAUGGGCCAUGUGGUGUCCUCAAUAAAAAUGUGCUUGCAUGA